CUUCAUCCUCGAUGGUGGUGUUGGUGCUCUCCGACGAUUCCAUUAACUGAACGCUGGAACUGGACUUUCUUUUCUUCACGCCGUCAUUCUUCUUGUUGCCACCGCUUUUGCCUCCUGGAGAGAGGAGGAAGGAGGUGAGCAGAGCCAGGCAGGGCACCAGAACCAGGAGGCCGAGGAUCAGCAGCAUGAUGCCGGGCAGCAGAGCCGUGUGGCAGCUCUCGUC
Molecule: long non-coding RNA, 223 nt
Filed under: Gallus gallus (chicken)
Lineage: Eukaryota; Metazoa; Chordata; Aves; Galliformes; Phasianidae
Source: RNAcentral